Punica granatum (pomegranate) is the source of this 158-nucleotide non-coding RNA. The record is from Rfam. NCBI's taxonomy places the organism in Eukaryota, Viridiplantae, Streptophyta, Magnoliopsida, Myrtales, Lythraceae.
AUGAGAAGAGCCUAUCAGCAUAGCCAAAGGACUGCCUGGAGACCCUGAUAAACUGCAUGCAUGAAAAUAAUAUUAUUUUCUCUUCCGAUAUGCUGCAUGCAUGAUAUAAGAUUGAUCCCCAGGCAAGUCAUCCUUGGCUACUAAAUCGGCUCUUAUCU